Molecule: long non-coding RNA, 208 nt
Filed under: Mytilus galloprovincialis (Mediterranean mussel)
Lineage: Eukaryota; Metazoa; Mollusca; Bivalvia; Mytilida; Mytilidae
Source: RNAcentral
AUGACGGUAUGUAUACACCUUAUAUUUUUUUUGUACACGCAAAGUUUGUGUACAAUGUACAUGGAAAAGUUAUAUGCAUAUUGUCGUUUUCAUAACAAUGAAAUUAAACAAAAAAACACCUGUCGUGUGUGGUUGAUACUGGCAACUCUGUCUAAAUCAUUUUUUUUUCUAAUGCUAUGGUGUUCCUGUAUUUUGCACAAAAAGCAAC